GCCCUCACGGCAGCAGCAGUGGGGAGGGAGCUUGCUCCUGGAUUCAGCGGCGGACGGGUGAGUAAUGCCUAGGAAUCUGCCUGGUAGUGGGGGAUAACGUCCGGAAACGGGCGCUAAUACCGCAUACGUCCUGAGGGAGAAAGUGGGGGAUCUUCGGACCUCACGCUAUCAGAUGAGCCUAGGUCGGAUUAGCUAGUUGGUGGGGUAAAGGCCUACCAAGGCGACGAUCCGUAACUGGUCUGAGAGGAUGAUCAGUCACACUGGAACUGAGACACGGUCCAGACUCCUACGGGAG
This 295-nucleotide ribosomal RNA is filed under the name Pseudomonas sp. ZA1. RNAcentral's name for it is "partial 16S ribosomal RNA". It matches the Rfam family "Bacterial small subunit ribosomal RNA", at positions 60 to 347 of the family's 1533-position model. Lineage: Bacteria; Pseudomonadati; Pseudomonadota; Gammaproteobacteria; Pseudomonadales; Pseudomonadaceae. The record is from RNAcentral.